AUAGCGUAUAUUAAAGUUGUUGCAGUUAAAAAGCUCGUAGUUGAACUUCGAAUCUGGUUGGGUGGUCUGCCUUCACGGUACGUACUGCUCGGCCGGAUUCUACCUCUUGGUGAGCCGGCAUGCUCUUAACUGGGUGUGUUGGGGAACCAGGACUUUUACCUUGAGAAAAUUAGAGUGUUCAAAGCAGGCCUUUGCCCGAAUACAUUAGCAUGGAAUAAUAAAAUAGGACGUGCGGUUCUAUUUUGUUGGUUUCUAGAGUCGCCGUAAUGAUUAAUAGGGAUAGUUGGGGGCAUUGGUAUUGAGUCGCUAGAGGUGAAAUUCUUGGAUUGACUCAAGACCAACUAUUG
This 347-nucleotide ribosomal RNA is filed under the name uncultured eukaryote. RNAcentral's name for it is "SSU rRNA". It matches the Rfam family "Eukaryotic small subunit ribosomal RNA", at positions 594 to 945 of the family's 1831-position model. The record is from RNAcentral.